RNAcentral lists this ribosomal RNA (484 nucleotides) under uncultured bacterium. RNAcentral describes it as "partial 16S ribosomal RNA". It matches the Rfam family "Bacterial small subunit ribosomal RNA", at positions 29 to 507 of the family's 1533-position model. The record is from RNAcentral.
AUUGAACGCUGGCGGCAGGCCUAACACAUGCAAGUCGAGCGGAUGAAGGGAGCUUGCUCCUGGAUUCAGCGGCGGACGGGUGAGUAAUGCCUAGGAAUCUGCCUGGUAGUGGGGGAUAACGUCCGGAAACGGGCGCUAAUACCGCAUACGUCCUGAGGGAGAAAGUGGGGGAUCUUCGGACCUCACGCUAUCAGAUGAGCCUAGGUCGGAUUAGCUAGUUGGUGGGGUAAAGGCCUACCAAGGCGACGAUCCGUAACUGGUCUGAGAGGAUGAUCAGUCACAUGGGAAAUGAAAAAGGGCCAAGCCUCCAGCGGGAGACGCAAGGGGGAAAUUUGGAAAAGGGGGCGAAGGACUGACCAAGCCGGGCGGGGGGUGGAAAGAAGGUCUGUGAAUUGAAAAGAAUUUUAAGUGGGGGGAAAGGGAAGAAAUUAAAUCCCUUCGUGUUUGGACUUAACAAAAAAAAAAAAACCCGGAAAACUCCGGG